This 468-nucleotide ribosomal RNA is filed under the name uncultured bacterium. Its description in RNAcentral is "partial 16S ribosomal RNA". It matches the Rfam family "Bacterial small subunit ribosomal RNA", at positions 28 to 507 of the family's 1533-position model. The record is from RNAcentral.
GACGAACGCUGGCGGCGUGCUUAACACAUGCAAGUCGAACGGAAAGGCCCUGCUUUUGUGGGGUGCUCGAGUGGCGAACGGGUGAGUAACACGUGAGUAACCUGCCCUUGACUUUGGGAUAACUUCAGGAAACUGGGGCUAAUACCGGAUAGGAGCUCCUGCUGCAUGGUGGGGGUUGGAAAGUUUCGGCGGUUGGGGAUGGACUCGAGGCUUAUCAGCUUGUUGGUGGGGUAGUGGCUUACCAAGGCUUUGACGGGUAGCCGGCCUGAGAGGGUGACCGGCCACAUGGGGACUGAGAUACGGCCCAGACUCCUACGGGAGGCAGCAGGCGGGAGUAUUACACAAUGGGCGGAAGCCAGAUGCAGCAACGCCGCGUGCGGGAUGACGGCCUUCGGGUUGUAAACCGCUUUCGCCUGUGACGAAGCGUGAGUGACGGUAAUGGGUAAAGAAGCACCGGCUAACUACGUG